This 447-nucleotide ribosomal RNA is filed under the name uncultured bacterium. RNAcentral's name for it is "partial 16S ribosomal RNA". It matches the Rfam family "Bacterial small subunit ribosomal RNA", at positions 331 to 793 of the family's 1533-position model. The record is from RNAcentral.
CCAGACUCCUACGGGAGGCAGCAGUGGGGGAUAUUGCACAAUGGGGGAAACCCUGAUGCAGCGACGCCGCGUGGGCGAAGAAGUAUUUCGGUAUGUAAAGCCCUAUCAGCAGGGAAGAAGAAAUGACGGUACCUGAGUAAGAAGCACCGGCUAAAUACGUGCCAGCAGCCGCGGUAAUACGUAUGGUGCAAGCGUUAUCCGGAUUUACUGGGUGUAAAGGGAGCGCAGGCGGCGCGCCAAGUCUGAUGUGAAACCCCGGGGCUCCACCCCGGGCAUGCAUUGGAAACUGGCGGGCUGGAGUGCCGGAGAGGUAAGCGGAAUUCCUAGUGUAGCGGUGAAAUGCGUAGAUAUUAGGAGGAACACCAGUGGCGAAGGCGGCUUACUGGACGGCAACUGACGCUGAGGCUCGAAAGCGUGGGGAGCAAACAGGAUUAGAUACCCCGGUAC